RNAcentral lists this transfer RNA (72 nucleotides) under Camelus bactrianus (Bactrian camel). It matches the Rfam family "tRNA". Rfam says of the family: Transfer RNA (tRNA) molecules are approximately 80 nucleotides in length. Their secondary structure includes four short double-helical elements and three loops (D, anti-codon, and T loops). RNAcentral also lists the same sequence under 3 other names. The record is from Rfam by way of RNAcentral. Lineage: Eukaryota; Metazoa; Chordata; Mammalia; Artiodactyla; Camelidae.
GAAGGUAUAGCUCAAUGGCAGAGCACAUGCCUAGCAUGCACAAGGUCCUGGGUUCAAUCCCCAGUACCUUCA